UUAACAGCUAACAUUAAGAAAACAUUAGCUAUUUGUAGUAAAGGGAGAAAAGGUGAAUGGGGCAGAAAUAAAAAGUUACAGAUGUCCACCUCCAAAGCCUGUAGAGGGCUUACCGCACCAAACAGAUUACCAACAAGGUAAGCCAAAGGAAAAGCUUUUAGUACCGUUAAGGUCAAGAAAGGACUGAAAGCUGCUGACAGGAUGAAGUCUCACUGUUUGCUAAAUUCCUAAAACUGGUUUUGCACAGUGUUAUCACUUCCAGUGUUUUAUGCACAGAAAUGUCUUAAAUAUGUGGAAUAACAGAAAGUUCAGUAUAAGAUUAUAUGCACACCAUACAACAACAAAAACAUUUGAAACCAUAUUUAAUAUCCACUAAAUGGAAAGAAAGUGAAGCCCCUUUCCUCAUGGUGAUGAAUCCAAGGUUACGGAAGGCUAUGAGGAUCAUGCAUGUUAGCCAAGUGAGUAGAAGAGAAAGCAGCUGUCACCAAGGCUCAGGGCAUCUGGACACCAUUCCCCAGUGCUGCAAAAUCCAGCAAAUCUUUUACAGGAUUUGUUUUUCCAUUGCAGAUGGUCCUCUGCACAUGUUUUCCUCCCAUUGGCUCGGGGUCCCGGGCUGGCAGUGCUGCAGCCAUGUAGGUACCACAUAUAAAGGCUUGCUCUGUCUGCAGCAAGCCUCUGCAUACUGAAGGGAGGAAACUGGAGUUAAAAACAACAAUAUGACCUGCGGCUGGACAUCUCCAUGAGCGCUUUAAGCAUUUUCGUAACAAUCAGGUGCAAAGAAGUUCUAUCAUCUGGACAGAUCACACCAGCAGACAUUGUCAUGAAACAGCAGGAGAUAGACUGAAGCGCUAUCUUCAGAUCAGGAAGGGGGCAGUACAUUCGUUUGCAGUUCUGCUUCACAGCAAGAAGGUUUAAACCUGAAGGUGGGUGGAGCCUUUCUGUUCAAGGUUUUGUAAACUCUUCCUUGUUUUUUUCUCCUGCUUGUUUCUUUCAACUCCCACACGUUUUUGUGUUUUGUAUUUGCUUCGUUUGUCAUAAUCUUAAUCAGGUACAGUUUAUUUUAUAUCAUUUUAUGUUCUCUAUAAUGCAGCUUAGAAAUGCUGAAACAUUGUGAAACAUUCUGCCUUGGUAAAUAUAUAUGUAACCUUGUCCACCAUACUCCUAAUUUCCUGCAGCAACUCCCCAAGCUUACAUUUGUAAGGUGUUACAUUACACACAUUAGAUCCUGACAUUCAUUGCCCUGAUUGGAUGGAUUCUGUUAAGUUGCCUCUGACAGAAUUAGGUCCCCAUCGGAAAUUGAGUGGGGUAAGACCGGUUAAGAUGGAGGUAAAGCAAGAACUGUGGCAUUAAGUCCUUUAGCUGUGCUGAUGCAAGCUCCUACUGGAUCCUGGACUGUGUAAAUCCAGCAGCCUCUGCUCUCAUUUGAACACUUUCAUUUAUCCACUUUUAAGCACGUAGUGGGUAAUAAACAGAUAUUCUGAGGAAGGUUAUCGUUUUUCAUAAGUCAAAGUAUAUGAAGUAAAAUAGGUAUCUAAUAAAUGCAGUAGGAAAUUAUACUUUUUGUGUGUUUUGGCAACAUGAGCAACCACAGUAAGAGCUUUUGUGUUAUCUAUUUUACUGAUUUUAAUAGGUACCAUCAGUCCAGAAAAUCUUAUGAUGAUGACCAUAAAUUAAAUCUUUGAACUUGGAUGAAACAGCAAGAACAAUUUUUGAAAUAAUAUUCAAAGGGAAAACUCUAGAACAGGGAUUUCUGGUCUCCUCCAGCAUCUCACUCCCUCUCAAAAAAAAACCAAAUCCACAACUGUGACGUUCCAUUCAUACGUUUCACUGAUGUUGUGGGGUUUACCUGCUUUAGCUAUGUAGCGCCAUACAUCAUGCUUCAGUUGUCUUGUCAUUUGCAAUGCUAACACUACUGUCAGCUGUGACCUCAGUUCAUUUAGCCCUUUGUUUAAAAAAAAAAAAAAACUCUUGGAGUUUUGCAAACACUGUGGAAGUGGAGCAUCUUCAGAACCAAUCCAAGAAAAUACCAAGUUUAAAUAAUUAUGGUCAUAUUUGUGCCAAAUUUUUAGUUACUUUGCUUGGCCCGGUCUUCUUACCCCUGUAACUUUAAUUACUAAGAACCAAUCAAUUUGGUAAAGUUUGCUAAAUUAUCAAAAUUACUUUUUCUGGUUUAUUUUUUUAUUUUUUUUCAUUAUGUUGUGCCCCCCUGAAGCUCUCUGGUGACCCCCAGAGGGGGGCACGCCCCACACUUUGUAAAGCCCUGCUCUACAAUUUAUGAUUCUGCCUAACAAAUUGGUUCCCUCAUAUACUCCUGUUGUGGCAGACCUAUAAUUUUCACUCUUUAAAGCUGCAUAAAAAUAUUUUCUCUUGUGACUGUGGUGAAACCUAACCAUGGUUCUGUAUGGAGUACCUGCUGUUGGAGGAAAUACCCAAUUAGCUGCCAGCUGCUGAAUUAAGUUGGCUGCUGGAAGUUUAGUGGAACAUAGAACUGAAAGGGAAAGCAACACUAACAUUUCACAGGUCCCAUCUGCUACAAAUUCAUAUACCCUCGACAUGUUGGCAUAUCUGGUGCUCCAACAAGUUUGCAUUUCAAUGAAAGAGGCUGAUUGCUGAUACUGCAAGGUACUGGUGGCACCCAGGAACCUUCAAUCUACCACUGUCCGAGAUAGGAAUGCAAAAAUGUGAUAUGCUGAAGAUGUUCCCUGUGAAGUGAUUCCCUUUGGUUCAACAAGGUGCUGUCACAUCAGACAUGAUCAGGAGUUAUUCACCAAUCACAUCUGGCAGGUUCCUUCUGAUGACUCAACUAUCAUGUCGGGGACGUCUGUUUUGACGAUGCUGUGCUGAGAGUUGAAGUAGACCAUGGACAGAGGCCGGCGCUCGGUGGGG
Poecilia latipinna (sailfin molly) is the source of this 2886-nucleotide long non-coding RNA. RefSeq lists it as uncharacterized. The record is from RefSeq and is a predicted model, not a curated record. The transcript is spliced from 7 exons. Lineage: Eukaryota; Metazoa; Chordata; Actinopteri; Cyprinodontiformes; Poeciliidae.